UACGUAGGGGGCAAGCGUUGUCCGGAUUUAUUGGGCGUAAAGAGCUCGUAGGCGGUCUGGUAAGUCAGGUGUGAAAUCUCCACGCUCAACGUGGAGGGGCCACCUGAUACUGCCAUGACUGGAGUCCGGUAGAGGAGUGUGGAAUUCCCGGUGUAGCGGUGAAAUGCGCAGAUAUCAAGAGGAACACCUGCGGCGAAGGCGGGUUGCUGGGCCGACACUGACGCUGAGGCGCGAAAGCCAGGGGAGCGAACGGG
RNAcentral lists this ribosomal RNA (254 nucleotides) under uncultured bacterium. Its description in RNAcentral is "partial 16S ribosomal RNA". It matches the Rfam family "Bacterial small subunit ribosomal RNA", at positions 524 to 776 of the family's 1533-position model. The record is from RNAcentral.